AGCAGCCGCGGUAAUUCCAGCUCCAAUAGCGUAUAUUAAAGUUGUUGCAGUUAAAAAGCUCGUAGUUGAAUUUCGGGGUUCUACCGUUGGUCGGGCAAUUGUCUGUACUGGCGUGUGGAAUUUCUACCUUCUGGGGAACCAUCAUGUUAUUAAUUUAGCGUGGUGGGAAACCAGGACCUUUACCUUGAAAAAAUUAGAGUGUUCAAAGCAGGCUUACGUCUGAAUACAUUAGCAUGGAAUAAUAAAAUAGGACGGUGGUCCUGUUUUGUUGGUUUCUGAAUCACCGUAAUGAUUAAUAGGGAUAGUUGGGGGCAUUAGUAUUCAAUUGUCAGAGGUGAAAUUCUUGGAUUUAUUGAAGACUAACUUCUGCGAAAGCAUUUGCCAAGGAUGUUUUCAUUAAUCAAGAACGAAAGUUAGGGGAUCGAAGAUGAUCAGAUACCGUCGUAGUCUUGACCAUAAACUAUGCCGACUAGGGAUCGGGACGAUGUUAAUUUUUCUUGACUCGUUCGGCGCCUUACGG
RNAcentral lists this ribosomal RNA (520 nucleotides) under uncultured Gigaspora. RNAcentral's name for it is "SSU rRNA". It matches the Rfam family "Eukaryotic small subunit ribosomal RNA", at positions 569 to 1093 of the family's 1831-position model. Lineage: Eukaryota; Fungi; Glomeromycota; Glomeromycetes; Diversisporales; Gigasporaceae. The record is from RNAcentral.